UACGUAGGGCGCAAGCGUUGUCCGGAAUUAUUGGGCGUAAAGAGCUCGUAGGCGGUUUGUCGCGUCUGCUGUGAAAACCUAAGGCUCAACCUUGGGCUUGCGGUGGAUACGGGCAGACUAGAGGUAGGUAGGGGAGAACGGAAUUCCCGGUGUAGCGGUGAAAUGCGCAGAUAUCGGGAGGAACACCGGUGGCGAAGGCGGUUCUCUGGGCCUUACCUGACGCUGAGGAGCGAAAGCAUGGGGAGCGAACAGG
This 253-nucleotide ribosomal RNA is filed under the name uncultured bacterium. Its description in RNAcentral is "partial 16S ribosomal RNA". It matches the Rfam family "Bacterial small subunit ribosomal RNA", at positions 524 to 776 of the family's 1533-position model. The record is from RNAcentral.